Molecule: transfer RNA, 74 nt
Filed under: Gordonia sputi
Lineage: Bacteria; Bacillati; Actinomycetota; Actinomycetes; Mycobacteriales; Gordoniaceae
Also listed under: 2 other names
Description: tRNA-Ile
Rfam family: tRNA
About the family: Transfer RNA (tRNA) molecules are approximately 80 nucleotides in length. Their secondary structure includes four short double-helical elements and three loops (D, anti-codon, and T loops). Further hydrogen bonds mediate the characteristic L-shaped molecular structure. tRNAs have two regions of fundamental functional importance: the anti-codon, which is responsible for specific mRNA codon recognition, and the 3' end, to which the tRNAs corresponding amino acid is attached (by aminoacyl-tRNA synthetases). tRNAs cope with the degeneracy of the genetic code in two manners: having more than one tRNA (with a specific anti-codon) for a particular amino acid; and 'wobble' base-pairing, i.e. permitting non-standard base-pairing at the 3rd anti-codon position.
Source: RNAcentral
GCCCGGGUAGCUCAGUUGGUUAGAGCCGUCGACUCAUAAUCGAUAGGUCGCGGGUUCAAGUCCCGCCCUGGGCA